GACAGAGGGUGCUAGCGUUGUUCGGAAUGACUGGGCGUAAAGGGCGCGUAGGCGGUUAUAUUAGGCAAGCGUGAAAGCCCCGGGCUUAACCCGGGAAUUGCGCCUGAAACGGUAUGACUAGAGGACGAGAGAGGAAAGCGGAAUUCCUAGUGUAGAGGUGAAAUUCGUAGAUAUUAGGAGGAACAUCAGAGGCGAAGGCGGCUUUCUGGCUCGUUACUGACGCUGAGGCGCGAAAGCGUGGGGAGCAGACAGG
This 253-nucleotide ribosomal RNA is filed under the name uncultured bacterium. RNAcentral's name for it is "partial 16S ribosomal RNA". It matches the Rfam family "Bacterial small subunit ribosomal RNA", at positions 524 to 776 of the family's 1533-position model. The record is from RNAcentral.